RNAcentral lists this ribosomal RNA (484 nucleotides) under uncultured bacterium. Its description in RNAcentral is "partial 16S ribosomal RNA". It matches the Rfam family "Bacterial small subunit ribosomal RNA", at positions 30 to 507 of the family's 1533-position model. The record is from RNAcentral.
AUUGAACGCUGGCGGAAUGCUUUACACAUGCAAGUCGAGCGGCAGCGCGGCCUUCGGGCUGGCGGCGAGCGGCGAACGGGUGAGUAAUGCAUCGGAACAUGCCCAGUCGUGGGGGAUAACACUUCGAAAGAAGUGCUAAUACCGCAUACGUCCUGAGGGGGAAAGCGGGGGAUCGCAAGACCUCGCGCGAUUGGAGUGGCCGAUGUCAGAUUAGCUAGUUGGUGGGGUAAAGGCCUACCAAGGCGACGAUCUGUAGCUGGUCUGAGAGGAUGAUCAGCCAUACUGGGACUGAGACACGGCCCAGACUCCUACGGGAGGCAGCAGUGGGGAAUUUUGGACAAUGGGGGCAACCCUGAUCCAGCCAUUCCGCGUGAGUGAAGAAGGCCUUCGGGUUGUAAAGCUCUUUCGGCAGGAACGAAACGGUGGGCUCUAACAUAGUCCGCUAAUGACGGUACCUGAAGAAGAAGCACCGGCUAACUACGUG